Molecule: non-coding RNA, 77 nt
Filed under: Rhodococcus triatomae
Lineage: Bacteria; Bacillati; Actinomycetota; Actinomycetes; Mycobacteriales; Nocardiaceae
Description: Fluoride sequence
Rfam family: Fluoride riboswitch aptamer (crcB RNA motif)
Source: Rfam by way of RNAcentral
AAUCGUGACGGCGAUGGAUCUCCGCCGGGGCACCUGCCCGAACCGCCUCACCCGAGGCUGAUGGCUCCUUUCCCACC